RNAcentral lists this ribosomal RNA (310 nucleotides) under uncultured Hyphomicrobiales bacterium. RNAcentral's name for it is "bacterial SSU rRNA". It matches the Rfam family "Bacterial small subunit ribosomal RNA", at positions 20 to 360 of the family's 1533-position model. The record is from RNAcentral. Lineage: Bacteria; Pseudomonadati; Pseudomonadota; Alphaproteobacteria; Hyphomicrobiales.
UGGAUCAGAACGAGGGCUGGCGGCAAACAUAACACAUUCAAGUCGAGCGCCCCGCAAGGGGAGCGGCAGACGGGAGAGUAACACGUGGGAAUGUGCCUUUCGGUUCGGAACAACCCAGGGAAACUUGGGCUAAUACCGGAUACGCCCUUACGGGGAAAGAUUUAUCGCCGAAGGAUCGGCCCGCGUCUGAUUAGCUAGUUGGUGGGGUAAUGGCCCACCAAGGCGGGGAAAAGUAGCUGGUCUGAGAGGAUGAUCAGCCUCACUGGGAUUGUUCUCACGGCCCAUGAUCCUACGGGAGGCAUAUCGGGGA